RNAcentral lists this unclassified non-coding RNA (148 nucleotides) under Arabidopsis thaliana (thale cress). RNAcentral's name for it is "pri-miRNA 166f from Arabidopsis thaliana (PDB 7ELD, chain B)". The stretch from base 18 to 118 matches the Rfam family "mir-166 microRNA precursor family". Rfam says of the family: This family represents the plant microRNA (miRNA) precursor mir-166. Lineage: Eukaryota; Viridiplantae; Streptophyta; Magnoliopsida; Brassicales; Brassicaceae. The record is from RNAcentral.
GUCUUUCUGAGCCAAAAGUUCAGGUGAAUGAUGCCUGGCUCGAGACCAUUCAAUCUCAUGAUCUCAUGAUUAUAACGAUGAUGAUGAUGAUGUCGGACCAGGCUUCAUUCCCCUCAACUUACACGUUUUGCUUCUCAAUCUUCAAGAC